This 497-nucleotide ribosomal RNA is filed under the name uncultured bacterium. RNAcentral's name for it is "partial 16S ribosomal RNA". It matches the Rfam family "Bacterial small subunit ribosomal RNA", at positions 28 to 507 of the family's 1533-position model. The record is from RNAcentral.
GAUGAACGCUGGCGGCGUGCCUAAUACAUGCAAGUCGAGCGAACAGACGAGGAGCUUGCUCCUCUGACGUUAGCGGCGGACGGGUGAGUAACACGUGGAUAACCUACCUAUAAGACUGGGAUAACUUCGGGAAACCGGAGCUAAUACCGGAUAAUAUAUUGAACCGCAUGGUUCAAUAGUGAAAGACGGUUUUGCUGUCACUUAUAGAUGGAUCCGCGCCGCAUUAGCUAGUUGGUAAGGUAACGGCUUACCAAGGCAACGAUGCGUAGCCGACCUGAGAGAGUGAUCGGCCACACUGGAACUGAGACACGGUCCAUACUCCUACGGGAGGCAGCAGUAGGGAAUCUUCCGCAAUGGGCGAAAGCCUGACGGAGCAACGCCGCGUGAGUGAUGAAGGUCUUCGGAUCGUAAAACUCUGUUAUUAGGGAAGAACAAAUGUGUAAGUAACUAUGCACGUCUUGACGGUACCUAAUCAGAAAGCCACGGCUAACUACGUG